This 426-nucleotide ribosomal RNA is filed under the name uncultured Actinomycetes bacterium. Its description in RNAcentral is "bacterial SSU rRNA". It matches the Rfam family "Bacterial small subunit ribosomal RNA", at positions 233 to 671 of the family's 1533-position model. The record is from RNAcentral. Lineage: Bacteria; Bacillati; Actinomycetota; Actinomycetes.
GCGGCCUAUCAGCUUGUUGGCGGGGUAAUGGCCCACCAAGGCAACGACGGGUAGCUGGUCUGAGAGGAUGGUCAGCCACACUGGGACUGAGACACGGCCCAGACUCCUACGGGAGGCAGCAGUGGGGAAUCUUGGGCAAUGGAGGGAACUCUGACCCAGCGACGCCGCGUGCGGGAUGAAGGCCUUCGGGUUGUAAACCGCUUUCAGCAAGGAAGAAGCGAAAGUGACGGUACUUGCAGAAGAAGCACCGGCUAACUAUGUGCCAGCAGCCGCGGUAAUACAUAGGGUGCAAGCGUUGUCCGGAAUUAUUGGGCGUAAAGAGCUCGUAGGUCGUUUGUCGCGUCGAUUGUGAAAAUCUGAGGCUCAACCUCAGACCUGCAGUCGAUACGGGCAAACUAGAGUGUGGUAGGGGAGACUGGAAUUCCU